RNAcentral lists this non-coding RNA (145 nucleotides) under Aurantiochytrium limacinum. Lineage: Eukaryota; Bigyra; Thraustochytrida; Thraustochytriidae. The record is from RNAcentral.
CACCUGCAUUUUCAAACUGCAUUAGACGCCGAGGCAGCGGACUACUUUCCUGCGAACUAGCCGCCACACAACCGGGUCAGCCCCGGCUGCGGCAGAGGACGGCGACCAGGGGCGAAGGCCUGCGGCAGUCGCCUCCGCCCGGCUA